GACGAACGCUGGCGGCGUGCUUAACACAUGCAAGUCGAACGGAAAGGCCCUGCUUUUGUGUGGUUCUCGAGUGGCUAACGGGUGAGUAACACGUGUGUAACCUACCCUUGACUUUGGGAUGACUUCAGGAAACUGGGGCUAAUACCGGCUAGUAGCUCCUCCUGCCUGGUGGGGGUUGGAAUGUUUCGGCGGUUGGGGAUGGACUCGCGGCUUAUCAGCUUGUUGGUGGGGUAGUGGCGUACCAAGGCUUUGAAGGGUAGCCGGCCUGAGAGGGGGACCGGCCACAUGGGGACUGAGAGACGGCCCAGACUGCUACGGGAGGCAGCAGGGGGGAAUAUGGCACAAUGGGCGGAAGCGUGAUGCAGAAACGCCGCGUGCGGGAUGACGGCCUUCGGGUUGUAAACCGCUUUCGCCUGUGACGAAGCGUGAGUGACGGUAAUGGGUAAAGAAGCACCGGCUAACUACGUG
Molecule: ribosomal RNA, 468 nt
Filed under: uncultured bacterium
Lineage: Bacteria
Description: partial 16S ribosomal RNA
Rfam family: Bacterial small subunit ribosomal RNA
Source: RNAcentral